Triticum aestivum (bread wheat) is the source of this 1499-nucleotide long non-coding RNA. RefSeq lists it as uncharacterized. The transcript is spliced from 5 exons. The record is from RefSeq and is a predicted model, not a curated record. Lineage: Eukaryota; Viridiplantae; Streptophyta; Magnoliopsida; Poales; Poaceae.
CCGCGUGUGCUCCGCUUCCAAUCCUCCUCGCGGGGUUGCUGCACCAGAGCCCACACCCGCCCCAACCCUAGCCGCCAAACCUCUCCUUCCUCCCUCGCUUGACACCAUAGGCGCUACACCCCCUCCCCUCCUCCUUCUCGGGCAGAUAGCCGCCGGCCGCCGCAUCCCUUCUCCCCCUUCCUCCUCCUUCCUCCUUCCCGCUGGCUCCCAUCGCCCUCGUCCUCGGACAAGGGGCCUUCGCAGGGAUGGCCAUGUCUUCAAACCAGGGGUAGAGGAGCAGGGGAGGGCCAAGAAGCCAGUGCUGGGAGUGGAGGACCCAGGUGGUGGACGCAUCAUGGGGUUAAGGACAGGCCGAUGAUAGGGAUAAGUAGGAGGAGUGCCAUGGAUCUGCAGGGAAAGGAGGGCGACGCCCUCGGCGGGCGUCCGAGAAGGAAGCCGGCGGGGAGCAUGUCACCGUAGGCGUCAAGGGAGCCAUGGACAAGCCGCUAGGAGGAGAAAGCUCCCAGUUUGUGGAGGAGACUAUGUGACAGGUGUGUUUCUUCCUGUUUUUCUAACCCCUUUUCUCAUCUUUCCAUGACGACCUGCAAAUUUUUCAAGUUUUUCAGGUGGUGUUUUGGAAUCUAGAUUGAUUUGGUACUCUAUGUUGUGUGAUGUGCCCUUGCCAAGAAUAUUUGAUGUGUGUGAUGACACAAGCAAUUGUAGAGGAGUGAACACCAUGCUCGAUUAGUGGACUGCCGCUUGAGAAGAAGCUUGUCAUUUGUCUCUUCGAGCCGCGGCGGAUAGGGGCCUUCGAAGAACUUGGGGUUUGACAUAGCCAUCGAGGAAGUGCAGGAUACAAACCAAGUGUAAUCAAAGAGGAUAUGGAUUCAGUACGGCCAUGAGUGAAGGAAUGUUACUCCAAUUUGGAUCUUGGAGAAUGUUUUCUCAGUGUGGUUCAGGUUAAAUUGUUGUCCUACUGUUCCUGCUGAGCCUCCUAAUGUUCUAUGUCUUCGCUGCGCCUUCUUCCAGCUUCUCUAUUGGUUUUCUCUUCACACCGAUCAGGCAGGGGAGGACGAGGCGAAGGGGGAUGGAGAAGUGGUCGAGCUAGAGGCGUACAGGCAGGGCACCCAGAAGACAGAGCUGUGCAACAAGUGGGAGGGCGGCGCCUGCUCCUACGGGGGCCGGUGCCGGUUCGCGCAUGGCCUGCAGGAUGAUGGUUUCUUAAUUUCGUUGACUAACCAGGGAGUUCAAGGAUGAUGACUGAAAGUUUUGUCAUUACUGGUUAACACUUGGCGACGAUGUGUCCAUCAGAAAUGAUCCGGUUAUCCUCUGUUGUAUUAUAUUUCCUACUUUUUUGUAAAUAUGUAUGGAUGUACAUGCACGCUCUUUCGAUGUCUGAAAAUGACCGUCAUCCCUCAGUGGGCAAAGAUGAUUUUGUUGAACAGUUUCAGUAUAUGUUACAUACCAUAUUCUUUCCAAUGUAGAAGGUAGCAGCUGACUCUGCAUUGCUGUGGUGCUUA